This 29-nucleotide non-coding RNA is filed under the name Mus musculus (house mouse). The record is from RNAcentral. Lineage: Eukaryota; Metazoa; Chordata; Mammalia; Rodentia; Muridae.
UAAUGUCUGGUGCACCAAUCCGUUUACGU